This 1623-nucleotide non-coding RNA is filed under the name Saccharomyces cerevisiae (brewer's yeast). RNAcentral's name for it is "ribosomal RNA". It matches the Rfam family "Bacterial small subunit ribosomal RNA". Lineage: Eukaryota; Fungi; Ascomycota; Saccharomycetes; Saccharomycetales; Saccharomycetaceae. The record is from RNAcentral.
AUUUAUAAGAAUAUGAUGUUGGUUCAGAUUAAGCGCUAAAUAAGGACAUGACACAUGCGAAUCAUACGUUUAUUAUUGAUAAGAUAAUAAAUAUGUGGUGUAAACGUGAGUAAUUUUAUUAGGAAUUAAUGAACUAUAGAAUAAGCUAAAUACUUAAUAUAUUAUUAAAAAAAAAUAAUUUAUAUAAUAAAAAGGAUAUAUAUAUAAUAUAUAUUUAUCUAUAGUCAAGCCAAUAAUGGUUUAGGUAGUAGGUUUAUUAAGAGUUAAACCUAGCCAACGAUCCAUAAUCGAUAAUGAAAGUUAGAACGAUCACGUUGACUCUGAAAUAUAGUCAAUAUCUAUAAGAUACAGCAGUGAGGAAUAUUGGACAAUGAUCGAAAGAUUGAUCCAGUUACUUAUUAGGAUGAUAUAUAAAAAUAUUUUAUUUUAUUUAUAAAUAUUAAAUAUUUAUAAUAAUAAUAAUAAUAUAUAUAUAUAAAUUGAUUAAAAAUAAAAUCCAUAAAUAAUUAAAAUAAUGAUAUUAAUUACCAUAUAUAUUUUUAUAUGGAUAUAUAUAUUAAUAAUAAAAUUAAUUUAUUAUUAUUAAUAAUAUAUUUUAAUAGUCCUGACUAAUAUUUGUGCCAGCAGUCGCGGUAACACAAAGAGGGCGAGCGUUAAUCAUAAUGGUUUAAAGGAUCCGUAGAAUGAAUUAUAUAUUAUAAUUUAGAGUUAAUAAAAUAUAAUUAAAGAAUUAUAAUAGUAAAGAUGAAAUAAUAAUAAUAAUUAUAAGACUAAUAUAUGUGAAAAUAUUAAUUAAAUAUUAACUGACAUUGAGGGAUUAAAACUAGAGUAGCGAAACGGAUUCGAUACCCGUGUAGUUCUAGUAGUAAACUAUGAAUACAAUUAUUUAUAAUAUAUAUUAUAUAUAAAUAAUAAAUGAAAAUGAAAGUAUUCCACCUGAAGAGUACGUUAGCAAUAAUGAAACUCAAAACAAUAGACGGUUACAGACUUAAGCAGUGGAGCAUGUUAUUUAAUUCGAUAAUCCACGACUAACCUUACCAUAUUUUGAAUAUUAUAAUAAUUAUUAUAAUUAUUAUAUUACAGGCGUUACAUUGUUGUCUUUAGUUCGUGCUGCAAAGUUUUAGAUUAAGUUCAUAAACGAACAAAACUCCAUAUAUAUAAUUUUAAUUAUAUAUAAUUUUAUAUUAUUUAUUAAUAUAAAGAAAGGAAUUAAGACAAAUCAUAAUGAUCCUUAUAAUAUGGGUAAUAGACGUGCUAUAAUAAAAUGAUAAUAAAAUUAUAUAAAAUAUAUUUAAUUAUAUUUAAUUAAUAAUAUAAAACAUUUUAAUUUUUAAUAUAUUUUUUUAUUAUAUAUUAAUAUGAAUUAUAAUCUGAAAUUCGAUUAUAUGAAAAAAGAAUUGCUAGUAAUACGUAAAUUAGUAUGUUACGGUGAAUAUUCUAACUGUUUCGCACUAAUCACUCAUCACGCGUUGAAACAUAUUAUUAUCUUAUUAUUUAUAUAAUAUUUUUUAAUAAAUAUUAAUAAUUAUUAAUUUAUAUUUAUUUAUAUCAGAAAUAAUAUGAAUUAAUGCGAAGUUGAAAUACAGUUACCGUAGGGGAACCUGCGGUGGGCUUAUAAAUAUC